AUUGAACGCUGGCGGCAGGCCUAACACAUGCAAGUCGAGCGGGGGUAGCAAUACCCUAGCGGCGAACGGGUGAGUAAUGCCUAGGAAUCUGCCUCGUAGUGGGGGACAACGUUUCGAAAGGAACGCUAAUACCGCAUACGUCCUACGGGAGAAAGUGAGGGAUCUUCGGACCUCACGCUAUGAGAUGAGCCUAGGUAAGAUUAGCUAGUUGGUGGGGUAAGGGACCACCAAGGCGACGAUCGUUAACUGGUCUGAGAGGAUGAUCAGUCACACUGGAACUGAGACACGGUCCAGACUCCUACGGGAGGCAGCAGUGGGGAAUGUUGGACAAUGGGGGAAACCCUGAUCCAGCCAUGCCGCGUGUGUGAAGAAGGCCUUCGGGUUGUAAAGCACUUUAAGCAGGGAGGAAGGUUUGCUGGUUAAUACCUGGCAAAAUUGACGUUACCUGCAGAAUAAGCACCGGCUAACUCUGUGCCAGCAGCCGCAGUAA
RNAcentral lists this ribosomal RNA (490 nucleotides) under uncultured bacterium. Its description in RNAcentral is "partial 16S ribosomal RNA". It matches the Rfam family "Bacterial small subunit ribosomal RNA", at positions 30 to 523 of the family's 1533-position model. The record is from RNAcentral.